UUUACUUCUAACAAGUAAGAAGGUCGAAGUGCGGGCGGAGCCGAAAAUUAAAUAUCCGGCGCAAGUAUUAAAUAUAUAUUUUUCACCUUUCCGAAC
Molecule: long non-coding RNA, 96 nt
Organism: Rhagoletis zephyria (snowberry fruit fly)
Lineage: Eukaryota; Metazoa; Arthropoda; Insecta; Diptera; Tephritidae
Source: RefSeq, a predicted model, not a curated record